RNAcentral lists this unclassified non-coding RNA (153 nucleotides) under soil metagenome. Its description in RNAcentral is "partial internal transcribed spacer 1". The record is from RNAcentral.
CAGAGUUUACAAACUCCCUAACCAUCGUGAACAUUACCUAUACCGUUGCCUUCGGCGGAUCAGCCCGCGCCCCGUAAAACGGGACGGCCCGCCGCAGGAAACCCUAAACUCUGUUUUUAGUGGAACUUCUGAGUAUAAAAAACAAAUAAAUCA